GGUUAAGCGACUAAGCGUACACGGUGGAUGCCCUGGCAGUCAGAGGCGAUGAAGGACGUGCUAAUCUGCGAUAAGCGUCGGUAAGGUGAUAUGAACCGUUAUAACCGGCGAUUUCCGAAUGGGGAAACCCAGUGUGAUUCGUCACACUAUCAUUAACUGAAUCCAUAGGUUAAUGAGGCGAACCGGGGGAACUGAAACAUCUAAGUACCCCGAGGAAAAGAAAUCAACCGAGAUUCCCCCAGUAGCGGCGAGCGAACGGGGAGCAGCCCAGAGCCUGAAUCAGUGUGUGUGUUAGUGGAAGCGUCUGGAAAGGCGUGCGAUACAGGGUGACAGCCCCGUACACAAAAAUGCACAUACUGUGAGCUCGAUGAGUAGGGCGGGACACGUGGUAUCCUGUCUGAAUAUGGGGGGACCAUCCUCCAAGGCUAAAUACUCCUGACUGACCGAUAGUGAACCAGUACCGUGAGGGAAAGGCGAAAAGAACCCCGGCGAGGGGAGUGAAAAAGAACCUGAAACCGUGUACGUACAAGCAGUGGGAGCCUCUUAAUGGGGUGACUGCGUACCUUUUGUAUAAUGGGUCAGCGACUUAUAUUCUGUAGCAAGGUUAACCGAAUAGGGGAGCCGAAGGGAAACCGAGUCUUAACUGGGCGUUAAGUUGCAGGGUAUAGACCCGAAACCCGGUGAUCUAGCCAUGGGCAGGUUGAAGGUUGGGUAACACUAACUGGAGGACCGAACCGACUAAUGUUGAAAAAUUAGCGGAUGACUUGUGGCUGGGGGUGAAAGGCCAAUCAAACCGGGAGAUAGCUGGUUCUCCCCGAAAGCUAUUUAGGUAGCGCCUCGUGAAUUCAUCUCCGGGGGUAGAGCACUGUUUCGGCAAGGGGGUCAUCCCGACUUACCAACCCGAUGCAAACUGCGAAUACCGGAGAAUGUUAUCACGGGAGACACACGGCGGGUGCUAACGUCCGUCGUGAAGAGGGAAACAACCCAGACCGCCAGCUAAGGUCCCAAAGUCAUGGUUAAGUGGGAAACGAUGUGGGAAGGCCCAGACAGCCAGGAUGUUGGCUUAGAAGCAGCCAUCAUUUAAAGAAAGCGUAAUAGCUCACUGGUCGAGUCGGCCUGCGCGGAAGAUGUAACGGGGCUAAACCAUGCACCGAAGCUGCGGCAGCGACACUAUGUGUUGUUGGGUAGGGGAGCGUUCUGUAAGCCUGUGAAGGUGUACUGUGAGGUAUGCUGGAGGUAUCAGAAGUGCGAAUGCUGACAUAAGUAACGAUAAAGCGGGUGAAAAGCCCGCUCGCCGGAAGACCAAGGGUUCCUGUCCAACGUUAAUCGGGGCAGGGUGAGUCGACCCCUAAGGCGAGGCCGAAAGGCGUAGUCGAUGGGAAACAGGUUAAUAUUCCUGUACUUGGUGUUACUGCGAAGGGGGGACGGAGAAGGCUAUGUUGGCCGGGCGACGGUUGUCCCGGUUUAAGCGUGUAGGCUGGUUUUCCAGGCAAAUCCGGAAAAUCAAGGCUGAGGCGUGAUGACGAGGCACUACGGUGCUGAAGCAACAAAUGCCCUGCUUCCAGGAAAAGCCUCUAAGCAUCAGGUAACAUCAAAUCGUACCCCAAACCGACACAGGUGGUCAGGUAGAGAAUACCAAGGCGCUUGAGAGAACUCGGGUGAAGGAACUAGGCAAAAUGGUGCCGUAACUUCGGGAGAAGGCACGCUGAUAUGUAGGUGAAGUCCCUCGCGGAUGGAGCUGAAAUCAGUCGAAGAUACCAGCUGGCUGCAACUGUUUAUUAAAAACACAGCACUGUGCAAACACGAAAGUGGACGUAUACGGUGUGACGCCUGCCCGGUGCCGGAAGGUUAAUUGAUGGGGUUAGCGGUAACGCGAAGCUCUUGAUCGAAGCCCCGGUAAACGGCGGCCGUAACUAUAACGGUCCUAAGGUAGCGAAAUUCCUUGUCGGGUAAGUUCCGACCUGCACGAAUGGCGUAAUGAUGGCCAGGCUGUCUCCACCCGAGACUCAGUGAAAUUGAACUCGCUGUGAAGAUGCAGUGUACCCGCGGCAAGACGGAAAGACCCCGUGAACCUUUACUAUAGCUUGACACUGAACAUUGAGCCUUGAUGUGUAGGAUAGGUGGGAGGCUUUGAAGUGUGGACGCCAGUCUGCAUGGAGCCGGCCUUGAAAUACCACCCUUUAAUGUUUGAUGUUCUAACGUUGGCCCCUGACCGGGGUUGCGGACAGUGUCUGGUGGGUAGUUUGACUGGGGCGGUCUCCUCCUAAAGAGUAACGGAGGAGCACGAAGGUUGGCUAAUCCUGGUCGGACAUCAGGAGGUUAGUGCAAUGGCAUAAGCCAGCUUGACUGCGAGCGUGACGGCGCGAGCAGGUGCGAAAGCAGGUCAUAGUGAUCCGGUGGUUCUGAAUGGAAGGGCCAUCGCUCAACGGAUAAAAGGUACUCCGGGGAUAACAGGCUGAUACCGCCCAAGAGUUCAUAUCGACGGCGGUGUUUGGCACCUCGAUGUCGGCUCAUCACAUCCUGGGGCUGAAGUAGGUCCCAAGGGUAUGGCUGUUCGCCAUUUAAAGUGGUACGCGAGCUGGGUUUAGAACGUCGUGAGACAGUUCGGUCCCUAUCUGCCGUGGGCGCUGGAGAACUGAGGGGGGCUGCUCCUAGUACGAGAGGACCGGAGUGGACGCAUCACUGGUGUUCGGGUUGUCAUGCCAAUGGCACUGCCCGGUAGCUAAAUGCGGAAGAGAUAAGUGCUGAAAGCAUCUAAGCACGAAACUUGCCCCGAGAUGAGUUCUCCCUGACUCCUUGAGAGUCCUGAAGGAACGUUGAAGACGACGACGUUGAUAGGCCGGGUGUGUAAGCGCAGCGAUGCGUUGAGCUAACCGGUACUAAUGAACCGUGAGGCUUAACCUU
This 2904-nucleotide ribosomal RNA is filed under the name Escherichia coli. Its description in RNAcentral is "23S ribosomal RNA". It matches the Rfam family "Bacterial large subunit ribosomal RNA". Lineage: Bacteria; Pseudomonadati; Pseudomonadota; Gammaproteobacteria; Enterobacterales; Enterobacteriaceae. The record is from RNAcentral. RNAcentral also lists the same sequence under 1 other name.